RNAcentral lists this ribosomal RNA (243 nucleotides) under uncultured bacterium. RNAcentral describes it as "partial 16S ribosomal RNA". It matches the Rfam family "Bacterial small subunit ribosomal RNA", at positions 28 to 269 of the family's 1533-position model. The record is from RNAcentral.
GACGAACGCUGGCGGCGUGCUUAACACAUGCAAGUCGAGCGGUAAGGCCCUUUCGGGGGUACGACGAGCGGCGAACGGGUAGAGUAACACGUGGGUGACCUGCCCUCAGCUCUGGGAUAAGCCUGGGAAACCGGGUCUAAUACUGGAUAUGACUCCAUGACGCAUGUUGUGGGGUGGAAAGCCUUGUGCGGCUGAGGAUGGGCCCGCGGCCUAUCAGCUUGUUGGUGGGGUGGAUGGCCUACC